This 404-nucleotide ribosomal RNA is filed under the name Actinomycetes bacterium. RNAcentral describes it as "Actinobacteria bacterium partial 16S ribosomal RNA". It matches the Rfam family "Bacterial small subunit ribosomal RNA", at positions 355 to 776 of the family's 1533-position model. Lineage: Bacteria; Bacillati; Actinomycetota; Actinomycetes. The record is from RNAcentral.
UGGGGAAUAUUGGAUAAUGGGCGCAAGCCUGAUCCAGCCAUGCCGCGUGAGUGAUGAAGGCCCUAGGGUUGUAAAGCUCUUUCACCGGUGAAGAUAAUGACGGUAACCGGAGAAGAAGCCCCGGCUAACUUCGUGCCAGCAGCCGCGGUAAUACGAAGGGGGCUAGCGUUGUUCGGAUUUACUGGGCGUAAAGCGCACGUAGGCGGACUUUUAAGUCAGGGGUGAAAUCCCGGGGCUCAACCCCGGAACUGCCUUUGAUACUGGAAGUCUUGAGUAUGGUAGAGGUGAGUGGAAUUCCGAGUGUAGAGGUGAAAUUCGUAGAUAUUCGGAGGAACACCAGUGGCGAAGGCGGCUCACUGGACCAUUACUAACGCUGAGGUGCGAAAGCGUGGGGAGCAAACAGG